This 406-nucleotide ribosomal RNA is filed under the name uncultured bacterium. Its description in RNAcentral is "partial 16S ribosomal RNA". It matches the Rfam family "Bacterial small subunit ribosomal RNA", at positions 30 to 526 of the family's 1533-position model. The record is from RNAcentral.
AUUGAACGCUGGCGGCAGGCCUAACACAUGCAAGUCGAACGAGAGGCGGACGGGUGAGUAAUGUGUGGGAAACUGCCCGAUGGAGGGGGAUAACUACUGGAAACGGUAGCGAAUACCGCAUACCCUCUGAGAUGCCCAGAUGGGAUUAGCUUGUAGGUGGGGUAACGGCUCACCUCGGCGACGAUCCCUAGCUGGUCUGAGAGGAUGACCAGCCACACUGGAACUGAGACACGGUCCAGACUCCUACGGGAGGCAGCAGUGGGGAAUAUUGCACAAUGGGCGCAAGCCUGAUGCAGCCAUGCCGCGUGUAUGAAGAAGGCCUUCGGGUUGUAAAGUACUUUCAGCGGGGAGGCGUUACCCGCAGAAGAAGCACCGGCUAACUCCGUGCCAGCAGCCGCGGUAAUUC